CUGACUGCCCUGGAGACUGAAGCCUGUUAUUUAUCCACAGAACAGAACUGCAUGGAGAGCAGCAGGGUAACGUAACCUGCCCUGUGUGCCAACGUGCUCCAACCCUGAACUGGCAAGAGGUUGGAUCAGUUUCCUCACCUGUUCAAUACUUCACUUCU
This 158-nucleotide small RNA is filed under the name Chelonoidis abingdonii (Abingdon island giant tortoise). Its description in RNAcentral is "TUC338 (ENSCABG00000019148.1)". Lineage: Eukaryota; Metazoa; Chordata; Testudines; Testudinidae. The record is from RNAcentral.